RNAcentral lists this long non-coding RNA (981 nucleotides) under Ananas comosus (pineapple). RNAcentral's name for it is "long non-coding RNA (ACOM_LNC027451)". The record is from RNAcentral. Lineage: Eukaryota; Viridiplantae; Streptophyta; Magnoliopsida; Poales; Bromeliaceae.
AAUAAUAUGGUAUCCGUAUCAACAAUUAAUACUAUUAAAUAUAAUCUAGAACUUUUGAAACUUUUAGGCUCCGUUUGGUUCGAAAAUUAGUAGGAACUAGUUAUACCGGAGAUAGGUACAAAUAUGAAUUUUUGUAAAAAUAAGAAUAUUUUUUAGAUUGGAUGAAAAUAUGAGUAUAAGCUGGAACUAGAAAAAUUGCAUUUGGAUGGUUAUUAGGAAUAAGAGGAAUAGUUGGUAGUUAUAAAUAGAAAAUAAUAAUAUUACCCUCAUAAUUGAAUUUAAAUUUUUAAAUUUUAAACUUAUAAUUUUAAAUUGAAAAUUUUAACUUUUAAAUUUUAAAAUUUGAAAUUAAAAAUUAAAAUUAUAAUUUUCAAAAAUUUAAUUUUAAAUAUUAAAUUUUAAAUUUAAGGCCAAAUUUAAAUUUGAAAGAUAUAAAAUAUCAAAUUUAAAAUUUAAAAACUAAAAAUGUCAGAUUUAAAAUUUAAAAUUUAAAAAUAUCAAAUUUAAAAUUUAAACCUUAAAAUUUAUUAUUUUAAAUUAUAAAUUUAAAUUUUGAAAUUAUAAAUUUUAAAUUUUAGCAAUUUAAAUUAUAAUUUAAAAUAAAUCUCUCUCUCUCUCUCUCUCUCUCUCUACCCGAGAGCCCACCCACCCACCCACCCACACAAGUACUCAUACCGGGUAUGGAUGGGAACAACUUGUUUCCAUCCACCCAAAUGGUGUUUGGGUAUAAGAGGGGGGGAUAAUCCCCUUAUCCAUCUCUUAUAUCCAAUCCAAACACACACUAAAGUAAAUAAAUUUUGUAAUAUGUCAAAAUCAUUUAGCUAGCAUAUAUUCAGGUGAUCUCAAAAGUAAUCGUUGCUAACAUAAAUAUAGAUUACAUUUAAAAAUACUUUACAAUUAAUAGAUAUAAAUACUUUUAAAUUUAUAAAUUCAAUAUUUCAUUCCUACGUACAAUUCACUUGACUCUCUUGUUUUUCAUCA